AUAUUGGGCGUAAGGGCUCGCAGGCGGUUUCUUAAGUCUGAUGUGAAAGCCCCCGGCUCAACCGGGGAGGGUCAUUGGAAACUGGGAAACUUGAGUGCAGAAGAGGAGAGUGGAAUUCCACGUGUAGCGGUGAAAUGCGUAGAGAUGUGGAGGAACACCAGUGGCGAAGGCGACUCUCUGGUCUGUAACUGACGCUGAGGAGCGAAAGCGUGGGGAGCGAACAGGAUUAGAUACCCUGGUAGUCCACGCCGUAAACGAUGAGUGCUAAGUGUUAGGGGGUUUCCGCCCCUUAGUGCUGCAGCUAACGCAUUAAGCACUCCGCCUGGGGAGUACGGUCGCAAGACUGAAACUCAAAGGAAUUGACGGGGGCCCGCACAAGCGGUGGAGCAUGUGGUUUAAUUCGAAGCAACGCGAAGAACCUUACCAGGUCUUGACAUCCUCUGACGACCCUAGAGAUAGGGCUUUCCCUUCGGGGACAGAGUGACAGGUGGUGCAUGGUUGUCGUCAGCUCGUGUCGUGAGAUGUUGGGUUAAGUCCCGCAACGAGCGCAACCCUUGAUCUUAGUUGCCAGCAUUCAGUUGGGCACUCUAAGGUGACUGCCGGUGACGAACCGGAGGAAAGUGUGGAUGACGUCAAAUCAUCAUGCCCCUUAUGACCUGAGCUACACACGUGCUACAAUGGACAGAACAAAGGGC
Molecule: ribosomal RNA, 695 nt
Filed under: Bacillus pumilus
Lineage: Bacteria; Bacillati; Bacillota; Bacilli; Caryophanales; Bacillaceae
Description: bacterial SSU rRNA
Rfam family: Bacterial small subunit ribosomal RNA
Source: RNAcentral